This 368-nucleotide unclassified non-coding RNA is filed under the name uncultured fungus. Its description in RNAcentral is "partial contains 5.8S ribosomal RNA and internal transcribed spacer 2". The stretch from base 1 to 133 matches the Rfam family "5.8S ribosomal RNA", at positions 22 to 154 of the family's 154-position model. Lineage: Eukaryota; Fungi. The record is from RNAcentral.
UGGCUCUCGCAUCGAUGAAGAACGCAGCGAAAUGCGAUACGUAAUGUGAAUUGCAGAAUCCAGUGAAUCAUCGAAUCUUUGAACGCACCUUGCGCCGCGUGGAUUACCACGGGGCACGCCCGUUCGAGUGUCACGUUAACCCAUCGCCCCCGGAGCUUUUGUGGCAAAGGGGUUGCGGACGUGGGCGUUGCGGGCGAUGAGCCCGCUCGCCUGAAAUGCAUUAGUGGAUCGGCCAGCCGGCUUCCCACGGUGUGAUAUUUCUUUGCACCUGACUGUGGAGCGGCGGGAGGCGUCCGCUUCGAGCCCCGCGCUUCGACGUGCGGAACUUUCAAGUGUCUGACCUCGAAUCGGGUGGGAUUACCCGCUGA